This 506-nucleotide ribosomal RNA is filed under the name uncultured bacterium. RNAcentral's name for it is "partial 16S ribosomal RNA". It matches the Rfam family "Bacterial small subunit ribosomal RNA", at positions 29 to 523 of the family's 1533-position model. The record is from RNAcentral.
AUUGAACGCUGGCGGCAGGCCUAACACAUGCAAGUCGGACGGUAGCACAGAGGAGCUUGCUCCUCGGGUGACGAGUGGCGGACGGGUGAGCAAUAUUUGGGAAUCUGCCUAUUAGUGGGGGAUAACCCGGGGAAACUCGGGCUAAUACCGCAUACGCACUACGGUGGAAAGCCGGGGACCGCAAGGCCUGGCGCUAAUAGAUGAGCCCAAAUCGGAUUAGCUAGUUGGUGAGGUAACGGCUCACCAAGGCGACGAUCCGUAGCUGGUUUGAGAGAACGACCAGCCACACCGGAACUGAGACACGGUCCGGACUCCUACGGGAGGCAGCAGUGGGGAAUAUUGGACAAUGGGGGCAACCCUGAUCCAGCGACGCCGCGUGGGUGAAGAAGGCCUGCGGGUUGUAAAGCCCUUUCGGUUGGGAAGAACAGUAUUGACCUAACACGUCAGUACCUUGACGUAACCAACAAAAGAAGCACCGGCUAACUCUGUGCCAGCCGCCGCCGUAA